Molecule: ribosomal RNA, 253 nt
Filed under: uncultured bacterium
Lineage: Bacteria
Description: partial 16S ribosomal RNA
Rfam family: Bacterial small subunit ribosomal RNA
Source: RNAcentral
UACGUAGGGUGCAAGCGUUAAUCGGAAUUACUGGGCGUAAAGCGUGCGCAGGCGGUUUUGUAAGUCUGACGUGAAAUCCCCGGGCUCAACCUGGGAAUUGCGUUGGAGACUGCAAGGCUGGAGUCUGGCAGAGGGGGGUAGAAUUCCACGUGUAGCAGUGAAAUGCGUAGAGAUGUGGAGGAACACCGAUGGCGAAGGCAGCCCCCUGGGCCAAGACUGACGCUCAUGCACGAAAGCGUGGGGAGCAAACAGG